This 388-nucleotide ribosomal RNA is filed under the name uncultured bacterium. RNAcentral describes it as "bacterial SSU rRNA". It matches the Rfam family "Bacterial small subunit ribosomal RNA", at positions 370 to 772 of the family's 1533-position model. The record is from RNAcentral.
AAUGGGGGAAACCCUGACGCAGCAACGCCGCGUGAAGGAUGAAGGUUUUCGGAUUGUAAACUUCUUUGAUUAGGGACGAAAAAAAUGACGGUACCUAAAAAACAAGCCACGGCUAACUACGUGCCAGCAGCCGCGGUAAUACGUAGGUGGCGAGCGUUGUCCGGAAUUACUGGGUGUAAAGGGCGUGUAGGCGGGGAUGUAAGUCAGAUGUGAAAUUUCCGGGCUUAACUUGGAAGCUGCAUCUGAAACUAUAUCUCUUGAGUGCUGGAGAGGAAAGCGGAAUUCCUAGUGUAGCGGUGAAAUGCGUAGAUAUUAGGAGGAACACCAGUGGCGAAGGCGGCUUUCUGGACAGUAACUGACGCUGAGGCGCGAAAGCGUGGGGAGCGAA